Molecule: long non-coding RNA, 984 nt
Filed under: Homo sapiens (human)
Lineage: Eukaryota; Metazoa; Chordata; Mammalia; Primates; Hominidae
Description: HSALNT0068961
Source: RNAcentral
GGAACUGGUUCUACCUGCUUUUCUGAGCCUGGAAGUCCCCCUUAGGCAGUGCACCUCAGAGAAAGGUGAGGCAAGACAGAGUGCCUGAUGGCAUGAGCCUCACUCCUAUCCAGACAGCCGCUUCUUCAGGGGCCCAGGAAAUCUUCUGGAACCUUGGAGAUUCCAGGCAAAUUGCAGGUGCGUUCUUCUGGGGAGAGGGUUUAUCACUUUCAUCAGACUCUCAAAGGCGUCCUCGAAUCAGAAACUUUAAAAAUAGGCUGGGUGCGGUGGUUCGCACAUGUAAUCUCAGCACUCUGGGAGGCCAAGGCGGGCCGAUCACCUGAGGUCAGGAGUUCAAGAUCAGCCUGGCCAACAUGGUGAAACUCCAUCUCUACUAAAAGAAAUACAAAAAUUAGCCAAGUGUGGUGGCCCACGCCUGUAGUUCCAGCUUCUCAGGAGGCUGAGGCAUGAGAAUCGCUUAAACCUAGGAGGCGAAGGCUGCAGUAAGCCGAGAUUGCGCCACUGCACUGCAGCCUGGGCAACAGAGUGAGACUCUAUCUUAAAUUUUUUUUUUUAAAAAAAAGAAUAGAAAUUGAAAAAACAAAGCUGAACAACCAUUCAAAGGAAGAUUUGCUGAGGUAGAUUUUUCUACAUGCAAACUCUGAGAGGCAAGUCAUUUGUGGGCUCUUAGUGUCAGGAAGCAGGAGCCAAAUAUCCCUUUUCUAGAGAAAGGGGAAGCCAAUUCCCGGUGGUGUUAACUUCAUUACACUUAAAAGAUCUCCCGUGGGCAGAUCCUGGAUGGAUCCCUGAGUGCUGAGAAUAUGAUGGGCACCAACCAUCAUACAGCGUGUCCACCUUUUAUUUAUUCCCAGAUUUUGAUGAGAAGAUAUAAACAGAGAGAGCACAUUUUUAAAAUUACCGAAUCACCCCACUGCUCUUCUACAUUCAGGCUGGGCGCGGUUGCUUAUGCCCAUAAUCCCAGCAGUUUGGGAGGCCGAGGCGGGC